AUUGAACGCUGGCGGCAUGCUUUACACAUGCAAGUCGAACGGUAACAGGCCUUCGGGUGCUGACGAGUGGCGAACGGGUGAGUAAUGCAUCGGAACGUACCCAGAGGUGGGGGAUAACGCAGCGAAAGCUGUGCUAAUACCGCAUGUGAUCUGAGGAUGAAAGCGGGGGACCGAGCAGCAAUGUUUGGCCUCGCGCCUUUGGAGCGGCCGAUGUCCGAUUAGCUAGUUGGUGGGGUAAAGGCCUACCAAGGCGACGAUCCGUAGCUGGUCUGAGAGGACGACCAGCCACACUGGGACUGAGACACGGCCCAGACUCCUACGGGAGGCAGCAGUGGGGAAUUUUGGACAAUGGGCGCAAGCCUGAUCCAGCAAUGCCGCGUGCGGGAAGAAGGCCUUCGGGUUGUAAACCGCUUUUGGCAGGAACGAAACGGUGUCCGCUAAUACCGGGCGCUAAUGACGGUACCUGCAGAAUAAGCACCGGCUAACUACGUG
RNAcentral lists this ribosomal RNA (492 nucleotides) under uncultured bacterium. RNAcentral's name for it is "partial 16S ribosomal RNA". It matches the Rfam family "Bacterial small subunit ribosomal RNA", at positions 29 to 507 of the family's 1533-position model. The record is from RNAcentral.